AUGUCUAUGGCCACUGCAUUGCGUGUUUCUCAGGACCAUUGUACUUCCCUCUGGAGGUCGGUGACCAGUCACUUGGCUCUUCGCGGGUACUCCCACACGCUGCGGAGGGCCAUGACAGAAAUUGUGCCGCCCCGAAUUUUUUGCGAAGGCGCAAGGAAGAUCAUCAACCGUGAAUUUGUUGUCGCGACCGUGCCUUACACCAACCGCACUCACAAGGUCAUCUUCUCUACUAGAACAGCGCGCGUGAGCGGAGAGGUCCGCUUUGCCAAUUUCAAGAAGGAGCAUGCCUCCGAGAUCGUAGACCCACACCACCACCAAAGUGUCCGUGUGCACGCCAUUGGCUCGAAGAUCAUCCGCGCUAUCCGUCGUGGCUUGUCCAUCAAGAGCAAGAUAGAACAACGAGGAGGGGAACCACCACACAUGGCGACGUGUCUGGAUUGGAUCGACGAGCUCAAUUGGGAGGUGAUAGUUGCCGUACACAGCAAGAGAGCACAUUGCUUUGAGGGUGGUGGUAAGAUUAUAGUCUUCACGGGAUUACUUGAUCAUUUCAGCACGGAUGCUGAGAUUGCCACCGUCAUCGCGCAUGAGGUUGGACAUGUUAUUGCGAGGCACGCGUCUGAGAUGAUCCAAAUAUUCAGGUUGUGGUUCCCAACCGACCUCCUCGUGGCGCCACUGCUACGAAGGAAUGAGCUAGAGGCGGACUACAUUGGAAUGAUGCUACUGGCUGCUGCUGGUUUCGACCCCCACGCUGCCCCUUUGUUCUUUGGCAAGGCAGGAAGGAUGGACGGCGAGUCGGCGUUGACAGAUUUGCUCUCUUUCUUCCCAUUCAGAACUCAUCCAUCAAUGAGGAGAAGAGCAUGGCUUUUAUCACACCCCAAAGUCAUGGAGGAGGCAAUGGAAAUAUACAGAGAAGCAACAGGUGAUGGGCCCCACAAUCAAGGAUUUGGUUUGUCUUAA
This 957-nucleotide ribosomal RNA is filed under the name Triticum aestivum (bread wheat). RNAcentral describes it as "partial small subunit ribosomal RNA". Lineage: Eukaryota; Viridiplantae; Streptophyta; Magnoliopsida; Poales; Poaceae. The record is from RNAcentral.